AACGUGGGUAACCUGCCUUAUAGUGGGGGAUAGCCUUUCGAAAGGAAGAUUAAUACCGCAUAAGAUUGUAGUAUCGCAUGAUAUAGCAAUUAAAGGAGCAAUUCGCUAUAAGAUGGACCCGCGUCGCAUUAGCUAGUUGGUGAGGUAAUGGCUCACCAAGGCGACGAUGCGUAGCCGACCUGAGAGGGUGAUCGGCCACAUUGGGACUGAGACACGGCCCAGACUCCUACGGGAGGCAGCAUG
RNAcentral lists this ribosomal RNA (243 nucleotides) under uncultured bacterium. Its description in RNAcentral is "partial 16S ribosomal RNA". It matches the Rfam family "Bacterial small subunit ribosomal RNA", at positions 114 to 353 of the family's 1533-position model. The record is from RNAcentral.